ACUUAGCUAAAACGUUUGGUUCAAAACAUUUGCUUGCUGUCUUGGCAUAACAUCAAUAAAGGCAUAAACAUCGCAAAAUAAUGGUUAUAAUUAAAUGGCUAUGAGGAUGGUUUUAGUACGUAGGCGUUGCGGAACUUCGGUUCAUAUAGAGCAAUGAGAUCGUGCAAUCCAAAUGCCUCGCCAUCCAAUUAGU
Regulatory RNA element from Drosophila sechellia, 193 nucleotides. It matches the Rfam family "R2 RNA element", at positions 1 to 181 of the family's 212-position model. From Rfam's summary of the family: This family represents the 3' UTR region of the R2 retrotransposable element. NCBI's taxonomy places the organism in Eukaryota, Metazoa, Arthropoda, Insecta, Diptera, Drosophilidae. The record is from Rfam.